GACGAACGCUGGCGGCGUGCCUAAUACAUGCAAGUAGAACGCACAGUUUAUACCGUAGCUUGCUACACCAUAGACUGUGAGUUGCGAACGGGUGAGUAACGCGUAGGUAACCUGCCUGGUAGCGGGGGAUAACUAUUGGAAACGAUAGCUAAUACCGCAUAAUAUUAAUUAUUGCAUGAUAAUUGAUUGAAAGGUGCAAUUGCACCACUACCAGAUGGACCUGCGUUGUAUUAGCUAGUAGGUGAGGUAACGGCUCACCUAGGCGACGAUACAUAGCCGACCUGAGAGGGUGAUCGGCCACACUGGGACUGAGACACGGCCCAGACUCCUACGGGAGGCAGCAGUAGGGAAUCUUCGGCAAUGGACGAAAGUCUGACCGAGCAACGCCGCGUGAGUGAAGAAGGUUUUCGGAUCGUAAAGCUCUGUUGUAAGAGAAGAACGGGUGUGAGAGUGGAAAGUUCACACUGU
RNAcentral lists this ribosomal RNA (468 nucleotides) under Streptococcus gordonii. RNAcentral's name for it is "bacterial SSU rRNA". It matches the Rfam family "Bacterial small subunit ribosomal RNA", at positions 28 to 472 of the family's 1533-position model. Lineage: Bacteria; Bacillati; Bacillota; Bacilli; Lactobacillales; Streptococcaceae. The record is from RNAcentral.